GAGAAAGGCCCGAGGCACUAGAGACUGCUAAUCCCUACUUCUGUGGUUAAACUCCACAGCUCUCUCG
Molecule: transfer RNA, 67 nt
Filed under: Bathylychnops exilis (javelin spookfish)
Lineage: Eukaryota; Metazoa; Chordata; Actinopteri; Argentiniformes; Opisthoproctidae
Description: tRNA-Ser (AGY)
Source: RNAcentral